Molecule: ribosomal RNA, 779 nt
Filed under: fungal sp.
Lineage: Eukaryota; Fungi
Description: eukaryotic LSU rRNA
Rfam family: Eukaryotic large subunit ribosomal RNA (bases 472-779)
Source: RNAcentral
CGGAGGGAUCAUUACCGAGUUUACAACUCCCAAACCCCUGUGAACAUACCACUUGUUGCCUCGGCGGAUCAGCCCGCUCCCGGUAAAACGGGACGGCCCGCCAGAGGACCCCUAAACUCUGUUUCUAUAUGUAACUUCUGAGUAAAACCAUAAAUAAAUCAAAACUUUCAACAACGGAUCUCUUGGUUCUGGCAUCGAUGAAGAACGCAGCAAAAUGCGAUAAGUAAUGUGAAUUGCAGAAUUCAGUGAAUCAUCGAAUCUUUGAACGCACAUUGCGCCCGCCAGUAUUCUGGCGGGCAUGCCUGUUCGAGCGUCAUUUCAACCCUCAAGCACAGCUUGGUGUUGGGACUCGCGUUAAUUCGCGUUCCCCAAAUUGAUUGGCGGUCACGUCGAGCUUCCAUAGCGUAGUAGUAAAACCCUCGUUACUGGUAAUCGUCGCGGCCACGCCGUUAAACCCCAACUUCUGAAUGUUGACCUCGGAUCAGGUAGGAAUACCCGCUGAACUUAAGCAUAUCAAUAAGCGGAGGAAAAGAAACCAACAGGGAUUGCCCUAGUAACGGCGAGUGAAGCGGCAACAGCUCAAAUUUGAAAUCUGGCUCUCGGGCCCGAGUUGUAAUUUGUAGAGGAUACUUUUGAUGCGGUGCCUUCCGAGUUCCCUGGAACGGGACGCCAUAGAGGGUGAGAGCCCCGUCUGGUUGGAUGCCAAAUCUCUGUAAAGUUCCUUCAACGAGUCGAGUAGUUUGGGAAUGCUGCUCUAAUGGGAGGUAUAUGUCUUCUAA